This 499-nucleotide ribosomal RNA is filed under the name uncultured bacterium. Its description in RNAcentral is "partial 16S ribosomal RNA". It matches the Rfam family "Bacterial small subunit ribosomal RNA", at positions 28 to 507 of the family's 1533-position model. The record is from RNAcentral.
GACGAACGCUGGCGGCGUGCCUAAUACAUGCAAGUCGAGCGGACUUUCAAGAAGCUUGCUUUUUGAAAGUUAGCGGCGGACGGGUGAGUAACACGUGGGCAACCUGCCUGCAAGACGGGGAUAACUCCGGGAAACCGGGGCUAAUACCGGAUAAUAUCUUCCUUCGCAUGAAGGAAGGUUGAAAGGCGGCGCAAGCUGCCGCUUGCAGAUGGGCCCGCGGCGCAUUAGCUAGUUGGUGAGGUAACGGCUCACCAAGGCGACGAUGCGUAGCCGACCUGAGAGGGUGAUCGGCCACACUGGGACUGAGACACGGCCCAGACUCCUACGGGAGGCAGCAGUAGGGAAUCUUCCGCGAUGGACGAAAGUCUGACGGAGCAACGCCGCGUGAGCGAAGAAGGUCUUCGGAUCGUAAAGCUCUGUUGUCAGGGAAGAACAAGUACCGUUCGAACAGGGCGGUACCUUGACGGUACCUGACCAGAAAGCCACGGCUAACUACGUG